Xyrichtys novacula (pearly razorfish) is the source of this 6968-nucleotide non-coding RNA. The record is from the annotation of a GenBank genome assembly. NCBI's taxonomy places the organism in Eukaryota, Metazoa, Chordata, Actinopteri, Labriformes, Labridae.
GUGAGCUCGAGCAAAGACAAACAAACAGGUAAGUUUUACUUUGAAAUGACAAAAACUCAAAUAAAAUCAUGAUGUAGAAAAUCAAACCAUGUGAUGGUUUGUUAGCUAAAUUGUGUGCACCCAAAUUAGAAAACAACAAAAUGUGAUAAAAGUGAAUUUUAGUGAAUUUUUUGUCUGAACUGAAACAGGUGGUGGUUGAGGCCUCCACAGUGUCCACCUCUGAGAGUUUAAGACUUAAGUGGAUGUAGGCCCAGUCUCUUUGACGUCAAUCGUUGGUUUCCAAAGAGGCGUCAGCCAAUCAUGUUUCUGUACUGAAAACACUGACUGGAUGUUAUUUUGGAUCAAACUAGAAACAGACAAAGUGACGAUGCAUGUUUUUUUUUCUGCUGAAGGGUCGAAUAUUUUUAACAUGGGGCCUAAUGGGAAUUCCUAGGCUUUUUUUGUAGCUAGCUCCCAGUGGACAUUUGAGGAAUUACACCUUCAUACUGUUUUUAUUUUUUUUUACUGUUUUACCAAUUUCGCAGGGUUUCUGCGGGUUCAACAAGUCAAGUUUAAGUCUUUUAAGAUCAUAAUGAACGUAAUUAAAGAUCCAUUUUACAUCCAUACUGGCAAAAAAAUACAACAGACAAGAAGAGAAACUGAAACAUUUUAUAAUAACUUAAAUUCAGUAACAUUAAUACGUUUUUAAGACCUUUCAAAUUUGUAUUUAAGGCAUUUUAUGAGAUUUUAAGAGAAUUUUAGACAUUUAAAGGCCUUAAAUUCAAAUUAUUGAAUUUUAGACUUUUUAAGACAUUUUAAGACCCAGCGGAAACCCUGUUUAAAUGAAACAGCUUUGAACUUUUACAUGUUAUAAACUUUUCCUGAUUGUCUGCUUAAACUGUGUGACAGCUACAUGGAAAAAGAAGGACUCGGGCAUUUAGGAUGAAUUAAAAGUCAAGUUUUAAAGCGUACCAUACUGAUUAAAGUGUAUAAAUGAUACAAAGGGCUGCGUAAAUUAACUUUUAUGUAAUAUCUCAGUGAAGAAGUACAGAGAGCCUGUUAACCAAGUAUCUCUUCUCCAUUAUCACGAGUUCUUUCUUGCUCAGAAGUACUAUUAUAACUCAAAGUAUUUCCUUUUGAAAGAUAAACCGUCUUUAAUAAAGUGGUCAGCCAAUAAUUUAAAUCUUAAUUUUUCAGUUACAUGAUGGCGGCGCAAUGAUUACUCAUUUACUGCCUGUUCACACACUCAUUACUUUGCUUUCUGCUUCACUUCACCACUUAUUCACAGCCUCAGCAGCAGCUCCAACGUUAUUUAUUUCUGUAACUGAAGAAAUGUUUGGUCCACUCGACGCCCUCUGAAUGUAAAGCUGCUCUGGAGGUCUGAUGGAAGGCACCGCGCGACGCCGUGACGCCAACCCGGACUGUCAAUGCCCCGAGUCAAGGCCCCAAGGAUGAAAGAGCAAGACGCUCAAAGCCGGGAGCAUUAAUUAUUCACAAAGGAGACAGUCAUCUGGAGCAGGUAAAUACGAUUUGCUAUUCUGCUCUUGCUUUAUGCUACAGUUAAAGCUGGAGGGAGGGCGAACGCUCAUUAACAUGCACUCCUUCACUCCUUCACACGAUAAAAACCUGAAACAAACACGAUUUAAGAAGCUGAAUGAAAAAACACACAGAGGGAGGGAGAGAGAGAGAGAGAGAGAGAGAGCUCUGAAACACUCUGUAAGUGUGAACUGUUUUCAUAAACACACUCAAACUGACAGACAGACGAACACGUUUUCCCUCUAGAGAUCAAAUUUACUCUGAAUAUUUAAUCAAAUCUGACAAAUGAAAAAAACACCUAAUUAAUCUUAUGUCAUCAGACUCAUCUUGCACUCAUACAUAUGUGUUUUUUACAGGUUUAUUCUAAUCACAUCCAAUUAAAAUGUACUAGUAACAGUAUUAUUGAUGUGUUGUUAUUGUAGAUGUAAAAAUGCUGCUCGCCCACACACUCAUAAACCUCUUUUUACACCUGGAUUCACAAGUCGAACACAUCUCUGUUUUCAUCUUUUUACUUAUUAAAGUUAUUAUUUUAUUCUACGUGUCAAUUUAAUGGUUUUUAAUUUGUGAUAUUUAAACAUUAUUCCCUUUCCACCUCGUCUUGUACAGUUUCCUAUCUAUCCUGACUUGUUUUUGUGAAUUUUUUUAUGGAUUUGUCUGAAUAUUUUCAUUGUUUCCAUUUUAUUCUAAUGUUAAAUCAUAAAGUUUAUUUUCAUAGCACCUUACAACAUUCGGAAAGAUGAACCAAGUGCUUUACACAGUCAAAUACACAAAUACAGGAACAGAAAAUACAUGACAAGUGACAAAUGUCAGAGGAUAUCAUAACAAUAAAAAGGUAAGAGAACACAGAAACGAUCAAAUAGCAAAUAACCCUGGAUAUUAAAAGCCUGUUUAAAUAGGUGAGUUUUAAGAUGUGUUUUAAAGAGUGACAGGUGAUUGAUAAAAAGAAGUUCAGGGGGGAGAGUUAAAGACUUUACAAUCAUUAAAGAUGGACUGUAGGACUCUAUUUUAUUUAAAAGUCUAAAACGAAAACUUAUUCAGCACAAUCACUUCACAUUAACCUUAAAGCCUUAAAUUUAAAAGGUUUAAAAUUUACUCAGUUUAUAAAUGCAGAUUUAGGUAAAAAGAAAAAAGCUAAACUUCAUCUCAGUAGGUUUAAAUGUUGUCAAAAAUUCAGUCUGCUGGACUUUUAAAAACACGUGAUCACAUUAUGUCAUGAUUUAUUCUUGUAGUUUUGUUUCCUGUUUGAUGUGUUUUAUUCUGAAGGUCAGUUUUCACUGUUUCCUGUUUUACUUUUACUUUUUUUUACUUUACUUUUUUCCCCUCUUAGUUUGUCUGGUCUAGUUUGACUUCCUGUGUUUUCCCUCAUAGUUAUUCUCUGUCUCUUGUUGCUCGUUCCCCUGUGUAUUUAGUCCCAGAUUGUUGUCUAUCCGACCUCACACUCUCAUGGUUUCUCAGAACCUUCUUGUUGGAUUUCUACCUCAAGUGUUUUGUUUGGUUUAUCUGGAUUUAGAUUUUUCUGUUUCUGAAGUAACUUUUUAUUGUUUCAGGUUUAGUCUUCUGUUUGAUAAAACUUUUUUAAUUCUGCACGUGAAUCCUCCCUCUUUGCUUGACACAUAAGUCGAGGGUGACCAUAUGUCCUCUGUUACCCGGACAUGUCCUCUUUUUAUGGGGGCUUUCCGGCCUUGUCCGGGGGGAGUUUAUAAAAUCCUUCAAAUGUCCUUUUGUAUGAAAGUUUUGAGUUCAUGUUGCGUGGACUAACAGAGUUAGUAGUGCAUAAAAAACACUCAACCGACUCGAAAAACUCUCAAAAUUUACUACAUGUGACUCUGUGACUCCGCCCCCCGUAGUCAUGUCCUCUUUUCAGGGAUUCAGAAUAUGGUCACCCUGCAUGAGUCCGUCAGACCAAGUUAAACUUCUCAAAGUCGGACUUGUAGAUUUUGAUCGUGCAGUUUUGUGCAGAUGCCCGAUUUGGAUUUUAACUCGCUAAAGUCUGCUUCACAUGCUCCAUUUUUGCUCGUUGAACUUUGACCCAUAAGUUCAAUGGUACAAAUAUGUUGCUAGGAAGUUGGCUAAUAUAUAAAACCUCGACAGAAGAGACAAUAAAGCUGUCUUAUGUUAUGUACAAAGGUACAGAGCUGUAAAGUUGACAGCUUAUUUAUCAUUCCAUGUGCGGCUCUUUAGACGCGUGUUUGUUGAUUGUUUUGUUACAUGACAUUGUAGUGCAAUCAGGAGACAGUAGGUGGUAGUAAUGAGCUAAAAAGAGGAAUACUGCCACCUACUGGAAAAGAGACAUACUUUUACGAGUAAACGGUAAAGAAACCUAAAAUUAAAUCGGUGUUUAUUUUAUUCCUUCAAGUAUUUUCGAGAUGGAGAAAGUUUCCUCCUUCGACAGCAGUGAUGUGUAAAUUAUGUGAGUGCGCUUUUGAAUAUGUAUACAAGUAUGUGUGUGUCCCUGAGUGUGUCCCUGAGUGUGUGUGUGUGUAAGUGUGAGCUGCUUGAGUUCCUGCGUGGGCUGGAAGAUCUCAGCAUGGCUGUGACAAAACGCUCCACCUAAACGCCUCUACGGCUUAUCUUCCUCUGGGGAUUACAAAGCAUCGCAAAUAAACGCAGAGCAGUGUAACUGACAACAGUCACAUUACUGUGGCACCACGGGCGAUAAGGCGCCGUGUGCACCGCAGGCAGGCGAGUGUGUGUGUGUGUGUGUCCUCUCUGCAGCUAUCUGACAGUGAAACACAGAGAAAUGAGGGGUUUGGAGGAGAAUCAUUGCUGUGUGAAAUCUGUGUGAUCUGACUAUUACAGGACAAACUUCACUGAGAGCCGCUUUGAAAGAAUAUCACAGGAGCUCCUCAGUCAAAGCCGAGGAGCUCCUCUGCUGGAGGGGCUAAACUGUGAAGUAGGUUCAGAGUAGUCAGGCUUUGUCAACCUCCAGUCUGAGAUAAGGGCUCCAACAAAAGGAGGUUAUCAGCUCCUUUUAUUCCGGUCGUCCUGUUUAAACUUUCUCUGAGGAGUUUGAACUGAUUAUAAAAUCGACUGACGCUGAUGCUGCAAGAGCAACAAGACGAUCUAUCCACUUGGUGAUUGAUAGAGCAGGAUCUUAGCAUGUUUGAGACAAGAUUGUGAGGAAUGAGGGUCUGCUACACACAAGUUCCCCACAGGAUCUUUAAGGCUCUUUGCAUCAUUUGACACUUUCUCCAUGCAAAUUCUUACUAUAAGCCAUCAGCAUGCAACAGCUACCAAAGUCCAUGUUGCUCCAAAUUCAGCUGAGAAGAAAAGCUGCAGAGAAUCAGUCAAAAUGAAGGACUUGUGCACAUUUUAACUUUUGAUGCAUUUGUAGUGUCUCCAAAUUUAGGGUUUAGGAGAUUUUGUGGUCAACAGGGACAGCAGGUCUGCAAAAGUGCAAACAAAACCGCUAUCAGGAGAAACGUGCUGCAAAUGUAGGAGCUACGCAGCUUCAAAACAGGAGCAAAGAGUCACAUAGAGAGGCACUGCAAAUGGAAAAACACUCAGAGGAAGCGUUUGUUGGACACCAAAAAGUACCUCCAGGCUCACAGAGGUUAUAUGUAAUGAUAUAUUAUCAUUAGGGCUGUCAGAAGAUUAUUUUUCAAAUCGCGAUUAAUCGCAGAAUCUUUAUAGUUAACUGCGAUUAAUCGUGGUUUGAAUUUCAUGUUUAAAACUCUGUUAUUUUGCAUCUCAAGGCAGUUUUAAGCCCAUUAUUGUCAAGUAUUUCUGACCAGAGUCUUAAUUUGGAAUCAAAUAAACCUGUUGUAUUCUUUCAAAAAAGAGCCAUGUAGACCAACUUAACACAAUGUCUACGUGAAAUACAAAUAUGUUUUCAAAUGAAAAAAGUGCGAUGUAGACCCACUUGUCUAAUUCAAAAAUACGGCUUAAAGUGCUUCAGUGUGGCCAUGGAACUAUGACUUAGGAAAACACCUCUACAAAAGAAGUUAAAGGGAUAGUUUGUUGUUCUCCAGAAGCUCAAUUAUAGAAAGGAAAUUUAACUGAUUUCAAGAAACUUCAACCCAAACAUUGAUGUGGGUGUAAGUGUUCGCUCUAUUUAGACAUCUCACAGUCAGUUUUGCAUUAUCCUCAGAUAUGAAGACGUGUCUCUCGGGCGUCUGCAAUCCUGAUGCAUGUAGUAAUCACACGCUGGGACCCCUUUAACUCAAAAUCACCCCCUCUCUGCCCAUUACUGACCAGGACACGUCCUUAAUGAAGGUUAUUACAGCCUGUUUCUGACAAACGAAGGCCGUGAUCCUCUGCAGAGUCAGGGAGGGUAUUUUACAUGCGGCUAAAUCUAAUACAGGCUCUUGUGCUUCGAUGAUAAUUAACAUUUUCACACAGCCGAGGGGGCUUCAUCCUCUCAGUAGGAGGCCCCUUUUUAAGCUCUUACCCAAAUCUCCAACCUCCUCUUUGUCCAGAGUUCUCUCCGCUCGUAUAAAAUAACUUUAUGAGGCGGUUUUAACUUUAGAGACAGCCCAAUAAAAUCAAACUCCAAAGAGUGAUGUAUGUAACCCUUCAAACUAGGAUCCUCUACAGCUCUUCUCAUCUGAAAAUUGAGCUGCUUUAAGUAAUCCUCGUGUCUGCUCUGUUACCUUACGCGGCCGCUGCUGUUUCUGUGGAGAGAGGGGAAAUAACAGCCAGCUGCUCCAGAGGUGGAUCUGGGCCACUUCCAGCUGAGAAUGUGUGCAAUCACAUGAAUGUGAAGCUGCAGGACGACAUGCAUGCACGCUCAGCAAAACCUCCGACUGGGUGAGGAAACGUCAGGGGAAAGAAAUGAAGGAAACUCUGCUCUGUGCUGAAGGUUCCUACCAAUUACGCUGGAUUAUAUACCCUUGGAUUACCGUCUCAAGUGUGGCUGAAAUGCCUUGAAGCAGAUCCUAGUUAAGCCAAUGCAGCUUUUAGACCUGAUUCUUCUUUUUUCUUUUCUUUUGUAAUUUAUUUAAGCUGUUGGAUUCGUCCUAAGGAGGGUCAAACGCGGACACGGGUUCACAGAAAGGCUGAUUUUAUUUGUCAGUGUUUGAACCCAAAGGGAGAAGUCAGCAAAUUCUGCCGCUCUCCUUCAGCUGGCAAAGUGGGAAAAACACAGCUGGAGUUUGUUGAGAGCAGCAGCAGUCGGGGUUGAAGUUGCUCCCCUCAGCACUUCAAAUCUCCAAAGACAUUAUUGGAAUUGCGCACAACUGUGAAAAGAAAUGUCCCGCUCUUUUGAUUGAAAUGGAUUUCUCCUUUCGCUGUUGUAUUAUUUCCACAGAAGCACAGAUCUGCUGAUGGUUUGUUUUCUUGUGGUGACGCUUGUCCUGACACGAGGGCACGGGGAGACAUGAGGCGACUGAAGCAGCGGGAGAUGAGAGGGUGCAACAACAACAAAAAAACACAAGCAGAAAUAAACCAAAACUGGGAAAUCUCAUUUACAAGAGCUUAAAAUAACAAGGAUUUCAUCAUCUGCAUUUGUGCAC